RNAcentral lists this ribosomal RNA (252 nucleotides) under uncultured bacterium. RNAcentral's name for it is "partial 16S ribosomal RNA". It matches the Rfam family "Bacterial small subunit ribosomal RNA", at positions 524 to 776 of the family's 1533-position model. The record is from RNAcentral.
UACGUAGGGUGCAAGCGUUAUCCGGAAUUAUUGGGCGUAAAGAGCUCGUAGGCGGUUUGUCGCGUCUGCUGUGAAAACUGGAGGCUCAACCUCCAGCCUGCAGUGGGUACGGGCAAACUAGAGUGCGGUAGGGGAGAUUGGAAUUCCUGGUGUAGCGGUGGAAUGCGCAGAUAUCAGGAGGAACACCGAUGCGAAGGCAGAUCUCUGGGCCGUAACUGACGCUGAGGAGCGAAAGCAUGGGGAGCGAACAGG